AACGAACGCUGGCGGCGUGGCUAAGACAUGCAAGUCAAACGGACCAUUAAUUUAUUAAUGGUUAGUGGCGAAAGGGUUAGUAAUGGAUAGGUAACGUACCCUGUGCUUCGGGAUAGCGUCAGAAAACUUCGGUUUUCAUCCGAAAGGGGCGGUAAUACCGGAAAUACCAUUUGUCGCAGGGCAAAUGCUCAAAGAUUUAUCGGCAAAGGAGCGGCCUAUCUCCUAUCAGCUUGUUGGUGGGGUAAAAGCUCACCAAGGCUCUGACGGGUAGCGGGACUGAGAGGUUGACCCGCAACAUCGGGACUGAGACACUGCCCGGACCUCCACGGAGGGCUGCAGUAACGAAUAUUGCGCAAUGGGCGAAAGCCUGACGCAGCGACGCCGCGUGCGGGAGGAAGUCCUUCGGGAUGUAAACCGCUGUCAGGGAGAAGAAAGUACGCUUCGGCGUAUUGAUCUAACUCAAAGGAAGUCACGGCUAACUUCGUGCCAGCAGCCGCGGUAAGACGAAGGUGGCAAGCGUUGUUCGGUGUUACUGGGCUUAAAGCGUGUGUAGGCGGAAAGGUAAGCGUCUUGUGAAAUCCCCCGGCUUAACCGGGGAAUUGCUGGGCGUACUGCUUUUCUUGAGGCAAGUAGGGGUGCAUGGAACUCUUGGUGGAGCGGUGGAAUGCGUAGAUAUCAAGAGGAACGCCAGUGGAGAAAUCGGUGCACUGGGCUUGUCCUGACGCUGAGACACGAAAGCGUGGGGAGCGAACGGGAUUAGAUACCCCGGUAGUCCACGCUGUAAACGAUGUCUACUAGGUUGUGGAGGUUCUGACAUCUGCACGACCGAAGCAAAAGUGUUAAGUAGACCGCCUGGGGAGACGGUCGCAAGGCU
RNAcentral lists this ribosomal RNA (874 nucleotides) under uncultured Planctomycetota bacterium. RNAcentral's name for it is "bacterial SSU rRNA". It matches the Rfam family "Bacterial small subunit ribosomal RNA", at positions 28 to 895 of the family's 1533-position model. The record is from RNAcentral. Lineage: Bacteria; Pseudomonadati; Planctomycetota.